UACGGAGGGGGCAAGCGUUGUUCGGAAUUACUGGGCGUAAAGGGCGCGUAGGCGGGCGAUCAAGUCAGAGGUGAAAGCCCUGGGCUCAACCCGGGAGGUGCCUUUGAAACUGGUUGUCUGGAGUACGGGAGAGGAUGGCGGAAUUCCCAGUGUAGAGGUGAAAUUCGUAGAUAUUGGGAAGAACACCGGUGGCGAAGGCGGCCAUCUGGCCCGGAACUGACGCUGAGGCGCGAAAGCGUGGGGAGCAAACAGG
This 253-nucleotide ribosomal RNA is filed under the name uncultured bacterium. Its description in RNAcentral is "partial 16S ribosomal RNA". It matches the Rfam family "Bacterial small subunit ribosomal RNA", at positions 524 to 776 of the family's 1533-position model. The record is from RNAcentral.